RNAcentral lists this ribosomal RNA (207 nucleotides) under uncultured bacterium. RNAcentral describes it as "partial 16S ribosomal RNA". It matches the Rfam family "Bacterial small subunit ribosomal RNA", at positions 568 to 774 of the family's 1533-position model. The record is from RNAcentral.
CGUGCAGGCGGAUUGUUAAGUCAGCCGUGAAAGCUCCCGGCUAAACUGGGAGAGGUCGGUUGAAACUGGCGAUCUUGAGUGAGAUAGAGGUGAGUGGGAUUCCGCGUGUAGUGGUGAAAUGCGUAGAUAUGCGGAGGAACACCAGAGGCGAAGGCGGCUCACUGGAUCUCAACUGACGCUGAGACGCGAAAGCGUGGGUAGCGAACG